UGGGGAAUAUUGCGCAAUGGGCGAAAGCCUGACGCAGCGACGCCGCGUGGAGGAUGAAGGUCUUCGGAUUGUAAACUUCUGUUAGGUGGGAAGAAAAGUUUAUCUUGAAUAAAGAUAGAAAAUGACGGUACCACCAGAGAAAGCACUGGCUAACCUCGUGCCAGCAGCCGCGGUAAUACGAGGGGUGCAAGCGUUAUUCGGAAUCAUUGGGCGUAAAGGGUGCGUAGACGGUCUAUUAAGUCUGUCGUUUAAUACUCUAGCUUAACUGGAGAAAGGCGAUGGAAACUGGCAGGCUAGAGGGUGAGAGAGAGAAGUGGAAUUUCUGGAGUAGCGGUCAAAUGCGUAGAUCUCAGAAGGAACACCGAUGGCGAAGGCAGCUUCUUGGCUCAUACCUGACGUUGAUGCACGAAAGCGUGGGGAGCAAACAGGAUUAGAUACCCGGGUAGUCC
This 449-nucleotide ribosomal RNA is filed under the name uncultured bacterium. RNAcentral describes it as "bacterial SSU rRNA". It matches the Rfam family "Bacterial small subunit ribosomal RNA", at positions 355 to 796 of the family's 1533-position model. The record is from RNAcentral.